RNAcentral lists this ribosomal RNA (393 nucleotides) under uncultured bacterium. RNAcentral describes it as "partial 16S ribosomal RNA". It matches the Rfam family "Bacterial small subunit ribosomal RNA", at positions 523 to 918 of the family's 1533-position model. The record is from RNAcentral.
AUACGGAGGAUCCGAGCGUUAUCCGGAUUUAUUGGGUUUAAAGGGAGCGUAGGUGGACAGUUAAGUCAGUUGUGAAAGUUUGCGGCUCAACCGUAAAAUUGCAGUUGAUACUGGCUGUCUUGAGUACAGUAGAGGUGGGCGGAAUUCGUGGGGGAGGGGUGAAAUGCUUAGGUAUCACGAAGAACUCCGAUUGCGAAGGCAGCUCACUGGACUGCAACUGACACUGAUGCUCGAAAGUGUGGGUAUCAAACAGGAUUAGAUACCCUGGUAGUCCACACAGUAAACGAUGAAUACUCGCUGUUUGCGAUAUACAGUAAGCGGCCAAGCGAAAGCAUUAAGUAUUCCACCUGGGGAGUACGCCGGCAACGGUGAAACUCAAAUGAAUUGGCGGGG